GAUGAACGCUGGCGGCGUGCCUAAUACAUGCAAGUCGAGCGAACAGAUGAGGAGCUUGCUCCUCUGACGUUAGCGGCGGACGGGUGAGUAACACGUGGAUAACCUACCUAUAAGACUGGGAUAACUUCGGGAAACCGGAGCUAAUACCGGAUAAUAUAUUGAACCGCAUGGUUCCAUAGUGAAAGACGGUUUUGCUGUCACUUAUAGAUGGAUCCGCGCCGCAUUAGCUAGUUGGUAAGGUAACGGCUUACCAAGGCAACGAUGCGUAGCCGACCUGAGAGGGUGAUCGGCCACACUGGAACUGAGACACGGUCCAGACUCCUACGGGAGGCAGCAGUAGGGAAUCUUCCGCAAUGGGCGAAAGCCUGACGGAGCAACGCCGCGUGAGUGAUGAAGGUCUUCGGAUCGUAAAACUCUGUUAUUAGGGAAGAACAAAUGUGUAAGUAACUAUGCACGUCUUGACGGUACCUAAUCAGAAAGCCACGGCUAACUACGUG
RNAcentral lists this ribosomal RNA (497 nucleotides) under uncultured bacterium. Its description in RNAcentral is "partial 16S ribosomal RNA". It matches the Rfam family "Bacterial small subunit ribosomal RNA", at positions 28 to 507 of the family's 1533-position model. The record is from RNAcentral.